RNAcentral lists this long non-coding RNA (1222 nucleotides) under Daphnia magna. RNAcentral describes it as "uncharacterized LOC116922514, transcript variant X3". Lineage: Eukaryota; Metazoa; Arthropoda; Branchiopoda; Diplostraca; Daphniidae. The record is from RNAcentral.
UUAAAAUUUUGCAACGCAGCAUCCGAAACUGGUCUAUAGGUAAUAAAGUAGACUUGGAGAGAUUUCUUGCGGACGAAAUUUGAGGUUUCUGAAGCUGCCGUCAGAUGGAUUUUAGCAUCAGGAAGCAGUAGUCUUUAUAUUUACAUAUUUCCACUGCCCAGUGCUUCUUAAAUGUAUUUGGUUUUCUGGGUGUCAGAAAUAUUCUGGCCCGAAAUAUUAGUAAACCAGAGAACAGUAACGAAAACCUGCAGCCAAAAACGUGACAGCUCAAAAACAACAUGAACUCCCAAUACAAUGGGUUUUAGCUCAGCCUUCUGGAUUAAUCUGAGACUCGCUAGCAACAACCUGCGCAUCACAACAAUUAUAAUUUUAAAUCCUUUGAAUGGAUUGACACGUCAGCUAUCUAGGAUAAGCUGAUAAAAUUCCUUUGUGUCUGGUAACAAUUGGAACCUUAUUGGAAAGAUUGUAAAAAAAUUCUAAAAGUUGGAGGAUGCUGCAUUACUUCAAGAGCAUAUAUUUCAGUACUUUGUGUCUUAUCUAAUCUAUACAACAUAGGCUGAAUGAUGUGUAUCUAUCGAUAUGGGAAGACUGAACGUCAGGAAACUUCUACUGAUUUAAAACAAAGAAAAACAACAAGAUUAUUGUGUAUUGAUCCUUAUGAGAAAAAAAAACUAACAGAAGUAACUCUGAUAUACAAAUUGAUAUUCCCAUGCCAUAUUACUUUUUUCAUAAAAUUUGUUUUAAAACUUGUCUUCGACUUACAUUAGUAUUUUCCAUUUUAACAGGUAAGACCUAUCAGACUUGCCAGGAAUGUGUCUAUUGGUCACACAAAUUGCUUGUUGGCAUUCACUCACAUGUCCUUUACUCACACAUUCACACAAUUUUGGGGUUGGCUUUCAACAUGCCUUAAUUUCCCUUAGAUUUUUAUUAAUAAUGGCAGCCAUUUAGAAAGGGUUAAAUUGGAUGAGGAAAAAGGCUUUGAAACAGAUAACCGUUGGAAGCUCCCAAUCAAAGAUGAACCCUCCGGACGUUGAUCUCAUUUUGUAAUGAGAAGUCACGAUCUUGCUAAACGCGCAGCCUUUUCCCGAGUUCAACAAUCUUUUGGACGUUGGAAAAAAAAAAGGAAAAAUUUAGUGAAACAACAAAUUCUUCGGCCGGAUAUUGCCAUGAUACAUUAACAUUCUGUCACAUUCCGGUAUUCUUAUAAAGAAAUUGAAGUGCA